UACGAACGCUGGCGGCAUGCCUAACACAUGCAAGUCGAACGAGACCUUCGGGUCUAGUGGCGCACGGGUGCGUAACGCGUGGGAACCUGCCCUUAGGUUCGGAAUAACUCCCCGAAAGGGGUGCUAAUACCGGAUAAUGUCUUCGGACCAAAGAUUUAUCGCCUUUGGAUGGGCCCGCGUUGGAUUAGCUAGUUGGUAGGGUAAAAGCCUACCAAGGCGACGAUCCAUAGCUGGUCUGAGAGGAUGAUCAGCCACACUGGGACUGAGACACGGCCCAGACUCCUACGGGAGGCAGCAGUGGGGAAUAUUGGACAAUGGGCGAAAGCCUGAUCCAGCAAUGCCGCGUGAGUGAUGAAGGCCUUAGGGUUGUAAAGCUCUUUUACCCGGGAUGAUAAUGACAGUACCGGGAGAAUAAGCUCCGGCUAACUCCGUG
Molecule: ribosomal RNA, 433 nt
Filed under: uncultured bacterium
Lineage: Bacteria
Description: partial 16S ribosomal RNA
Rfam family: Bacterial small subunit ribosomal RNA
Source: RNAcentral